CCUACGGGUGGCAGCAGUGAGGAAUAUUGGACAAUGGGCGCGAGCCUGAACCAGCCAAGUAGCGUGAAGGAGGACUGCCCUACGGGGUGUAAACUUCGUUUAUAAAGGAAUAAAGUGAGGCACGUGUGCCGUUUUGUAUGUACUUUAUGAAUAAGGAUCGGCUAACUCCGUGCCAGCAGCCGCGGUAAUACGGAGGAUCCGAGCGUUAUCCGGAUUUAUGGGGUUUAAAGGGAGCGUAGAUGGGUUGUUAAGUCAGUGGUGCAAGUUUGCGGCUCAACCGUAAAAUUGCCCUUGAUACUGGCAGUCUUGCGUACAGUUGCGGUAGGCGGAAUUCGUUGUGUAGCGG
RNAcentral lists this ribosomal RNA (346 nucleotides) under uncultured bacterium. RNAcentral's name for it is "partial 16S ribosomal RNA". It matches the Rfam family "Bacterial small subunit ribosomal RNA", at positions 338 to 681 of the family's 1533-position model. The record is from RNAcentral.